UAGGCUAGAGCGACGCCGAACCGGGGAAGUAGAAACAUCUCACGGUACCCGGAAGGAAAAGAAAACAACAGUGAUUCCUCCUAGGUAGCGGCGAGCGGAACGGGGACGAAGGCCAAACCCGAAGUAGUGAUACUACGGGGGGUUGUAGGGGUCGGCGAUGUGGCAUUCUGAUCGAGAGUCGAACCGCUUGGAACGGCGGGCCAUAGAGGGUGACAGCCCCGUAGUCGAAUCGAGAGGGAGCCUAGCUGAUACCUGAGUACCGCAGGACACGUGCAAUCCGGCGGGAAUCUGGCGGGACCAUCCGCCAAGCCUGAAUACUACCCAUCGACCGAUAGUGAACAAGUACCGUGAGGGGAAAGGUGAAAAGCACCCCGGAAGGGGAGUGAAAUAGAACCUGAAACCGCGAUUGCCUACAAGCACUGGGAGCACGACGUCGCAAGACCGUGUGACCGGGUACCUUUUGCAUAAUGGGCC
Molecule: ribosomal RNA, 474 nt
Filed under: uncultured bacterium
Lineage: Bacteria
Description: bacterial LSU rRNA
Rfam family: Bacterial large subunit ribosomal RNA
Source: RNAcentral